AUUACACAUAUACAUAUAUAUGAACAAUUUAAAGUUUACUCAAGAAUGUGUAUUUUUUCUACAUUAUAAAAUGUGGUAUUGGGUUCUAGGAAAUUAUUUCAAACUACACGAUCAUUUGAAGAAGAUAGCUCUUAGGAAAAAAGAGAUGAUCUCCUCUAACUUCUUAGAACCACUGCACUGCCAAAUGGGGAUUUAUUUCUAUUGCCUCAUCCAAGUCAGUUCCAAAGCUUAACUCUUCCAUGAAGUUUUCCAUGAUCAAUCCUGCCUAAGGUUCACAGGUGCUGUGAUGUCUUUCACAGGCAAUGGAUAAAGCAUCCUGCAUUGUCCUAGGCACACUCUGUAGGGAAGAUAUGGGAAUCUGAAGUCAACUUUGCCAAAAUUGUGAGGAUUGCUAAUGUGAGAUGAGAAUCUACUCACAAACAUUAAGAAGGUAACAUGAUGAGUGAAGUAAAGGGGCUGCUACUAAGAGAAAGCAUGCUCUCAGAUAACCGUUUUCAGAUAACGUCGAGAAAGUGAGAGUAUACACAGAUCAACAUGAUGGUCCACUUAACGGGGGAAGAGAGUAAAAUGUUGGUGUCACUGACAAGGAUGGCAACAUUUAAAUGUUCAGAUCCUUACAGGAGAAGCAUUGCAGUCACUUGACAAUCUCAAGCUAUGUGUUUCUUCAGUGCUUCUUGAAAACAUUUAUA
Molecule: long non-coding RNA, 689 nt
Filed under: Homo sapiens (human)
Lineage: Eukaryota; Metazoa; Chordata; Mammalia; Primates; Hominidae
Description: HSALNT0362002
Source: RNAcentral